RNAcentral lists this ribosomal RNA (228 nucleotides) under uncultured bacterium. RNAcentral describes it as "partial 16S ribosomal RNA". It matches the Rfam family "Bacterial small subunit ribosomal RNA", at positions 568 to 795 of the family's 1533-position model. The record is from RNAcentral.
UGCGCAGGCGGACCAAUAAGUCAGUGGUGAAAUCUCGGGGCUCAACCCCGAAACUGCCAUUGAUACUGCUGGUCUUGAAUACGGUUGAAGUAGGCGGAAUGUAGCAUGUAGCGGUGAAAUGCAUAGAGAUGCUACAGAACACCGAUCGCGAAGGCAGCUUACUAAGCCGAUAUUGACGCUCAGGCACGAAAGCGUGGGGAGCGAACAGGAUUAGAUACCCUGGUAGUC